This 21-nucleotide non-coding RNA is filed under the name Rattus norvegicus (Norway rat). The record is from RNAcentral. Lineage: Eukaryota; Metazoa; Chordata; Mammalia; Rodentia; Muridae.
UAAAGAUGUAAUCGGUGUAGA